Molecule: ribosomal RNA, 799 nt
Filed under: uncultured bacterium
Lineage: Bacteria
Description: bacterial SSU rRNA
Rfam family: Bacterial small subunit ribosomal RNA
Source: RNAcentral
GAGUUUGAUCCUGGCUCAGAUUGAACGCUGGCGGCAUGCUUUACACAUGCAAGUCGAACGGUAACAGGGUGCUUGCACCGCUGACGAGUGGCGAACGGGUGAGUAAUAUAUCGGAACGUACCUGGUAAUGGGGGAUAACUAUCCGAAAGGAUAGCUAAUACCGCAUACGCCCCGAGGGGGAAAGUGGGGGACUCGCAAGAGCCUCACGUUAUCAGAGCGGCCGAUAUCAGAUUAGCUAGUUGGUGAGGUAAAGGCUCACCAAGGCAACGAUCUGUAGCGGGUCUUAGAGGACGAUCCGCCACACUGGAACUGAGACACGGUCCAGACUCCUACGGGAGGCAGCAGUGGGGAAUCAUGGACAAUGGGCGAAAGCCUGAUCCAGCAAUGCCGCGUGCGUGAAGAAGGCCUUCGGGUUGUAAAGCGCUUUUGUUCGGGAGGAAAUCCCAAGGGCUAAUAUCUCUUGGGGAUGACAGUACCGGAAGAAUAAGGACCGGCUAACUACGUGCCAGCAGCCGCGGUAAUACGUAGGGUCCAAGCGUUAAUCGGAAUUACUGGGCGUAAAGGGUGCGCAGGUGGUUUAUUAAGUGUGAUGUGAAAGCCCCGGGCUCAACCUGGGAAUUGCAUUGCAAACUGGUAAACUAGAGUAUGGCAGAGGGGGGUGGAAUUCCGCGUGUAGCAGUGAAAUGCGUAGAGAUGCGGAGGAACACCGAUGGCGAAGGCAACCCCCUGGGCUAAUACUGACACUCAUGCACGAAAGCGUGGGGAGCAAACAGGAUUAGAUACCCUGGUAGUCCACGCC